AACGAACGCUGGCGGCAUGCCUAACACAUGCAAGUCGAACGAGACCUUCGGGUCUAGUGGCGCACGGGUGCGUAACGCGUGGGAACCUGCCCUUAGGUUCGGAAUAACUCCCCGAAAGGGGUGCUAAUAUCGGAUAAUGUCUUCGGACCAAAGAUUUAUCGCCUUUGGAUGGGUCCGCGUUGGAUUAGCUAGUUGGUAGGGUAAAAGCCUACCAAGGCGACGAUCCAUAGCUGGUCUGAGAGGAUGAUCAGCCACACUGGGACUGAGACACGGCCCAGACUCCUACGGGAGGCAGCAGUGGGGAAUAUUGGACAAUGGGCGAAAGCCUGAUCCAGCAAUGCCGCGUGAGUGAUGAAGGCCUGAGGGUUGUAAAGCUCUUUUACCCGGGAUGAUAAUGACAGUACCGGGAGAAUAAGCUCCGGCUAACUCCGUG
RNAcentral lists this ribosomal RNA (433 nucleotides) under uncultured bacterium. RNAcentral describes it as "partial 16S ribosomal RNA". It matches the Rfam family "Bacterial small subunit ribosomal RNA", at positions 29 to 507 of the family's 1533-position model. The record is from RNAcentral.